Molecule: ribosomal RNA, 253 nt
Filed under: uncultured bacterium
Lineage: Bacteria
Description: partial 16S ribosomal RNA
Rfam family: Bacterial small subunit ribosomal RNA
Source: RNAcentral
UACGUAGGUGGCAAGCGUUGUCCGGAAUUAUUGGGCGUAAAGCGCGCGCAGGUGGUUUCUUAAGUCUGAUGUGAAAGCCCACGGCUUAACCGUGGAGGGUCAUUGGAAACUGGGGAACUUGAGUGCAGAAGAGGAAAGUGGAAUUCCAAGCGUAGCGGUGAAAUGCGUAGAGAUUUGGAGGAACACCAGUUGCGAAGGCGACUUUCUGGUCUGUAACUGACACUGAGGCGCGAAAGCGUGGGGAGCAAACAGG